GGAAGUGCUCUCCGUGGAAAUUUUCAUCCAGUUCUACUCAAAGUCCAUAAAAUCCAUAGGGAAUCAGAAUUUUGAAACCAAAUAUUUCUGAAGCACAGACUUCUGGUUUGGAUCCAUACUCAGCCUAGAAACUUGCUCGAAGUGGAUUGACUGAUUUGACAUUAAGAUGUUACAGACUCUCUGAAUAAGUCCAUGUCCCAGGUGUCUGCUCAUGCACAUUCCUAAAGUGAACAGACCCCUGGAAUUCUCUGUUGGAGGGCUGAAGGGUGACCCACGGGAUGUGGGCUGGCUGCCUCACCUCCUGUCAGCCCUGGAGAUGUCACCUGUGUGCUCAGAAGCUCCUGACCCCACAGAACCAGGAACUCAAUUCCCUCUGCACAGCCAAGGCAGCAGAAAUGAGGAGGGGGCAAUAACAGCACUCUGCUAUUGCUGCCACUGAAGUAAAGGUAAGUAGUUAACAAAAGUGUUGUUCUUCUUUAUUUUUCAAUGUGUGUAUUUAAAAACAAAAAUUGUUUGUAUUUCAAUAAAAUUACCCAUGUUUUGUACUGCAUGCUCAUGAUGCUCACCUUGCAUUUUCCCCAUGAAAACCUGUAUGGUUUAUCCUGACAAACCAAUAGCCCCAGUAAGAGCAGACCCAAAUCUUUGGCAGGAAAUUAUGCUAUGUAUUUUAAAGCUAUUUUAUACUAAGUGUGUAUAUUUUCAGUCUAAUGCAAGGUAGAAGAAAAACCCCCACUGUUUUUCCUAAAUGGAUAGGAUCUUGCUAACUUAAGAAAACAAAAAUAAAAUUUCAGAACAUCUGAUAUGAAAAUUAAAAUUCAAAUAAAGGUAAAAACCCACACUUUUUAAACAUUCUGGAAAGAAAUUGCUGUAUUUUGCUGUUGAGGAAUUUCACCAGGACUCACUGAGCUCUUUUCAAUUCUCAUUUUUUCUAUUUCCAGCUCUUUGUCCUCUAGCUUGCA
Molecule: long non-coding RNA, 959 nt
Organism: Melospiza melodia melodia
Lineage: Eukaryota; Metazoa; Chordata; Aves; Passeriformes; Passerellidae
Exons: 3
Source: RefSeq, a predicted model, not a curated record